This 71-nucleotide transfer RNA is filed under the name Loxodonta africana (African savanna elephant). It matches the Rfam family "tRNA". Rfam says of the family: Transfer RNA (tRNA) molecules are approximately 80 nucleotides in length. Their secondary structure includes four short double-helical elements and three loops (D, anti-codon, and T loops). Lineage: Eukaryota; Metazoa; Chordata; Mammalia; Proboscidea; Elephantidae. The record is from Rfam by way of RNAcentral.
CUCUUGGUGGUUCAGUGGUAGAAUUCUCACUUUCCGUGUGGGAGACAUGAGUUCGAUUCCUGACCAAUACA